GGGGAGGUGCACCUUUUAACAGGGUCCAUCUGGAGGACAGCCUGCAGCUGUGGACUCCUCGACUGCAGACAUGGAGAGCAGAGGACCCCAUUCAGCUCAGGAGGUGUGGCCAGAGAGACCACUUGGCGAGGGUUAGUGUUCCUCAGAUGCCUCUGCCAGAACUCUGGGAACAAGCCCAUGCCAUGCAGCUCCCAUGGGAGCCAGGUAUGGUGAGCCUCUGCUCGACAACACUCCAGAGCUGCUCUAGGAGACCCCGACUGAAGAGAUGGGGAACUAGCCAGGUCCGGAGAGGGGCCCAACUCUAGCCAAACAUCCCCACCUCCACCCUGAAUUCACCAAGUUGCCUGCAAAUCUUCACAUCUCUGGAUGAGACCGAGACCUCCCUUCAGACUGCUCCAGCCCAGCUUGCACUUGGCAAGGCAUGAACUCCUCCACACCUACAUCCAGUGCUCUGUGGGAUACCCCAGCACAGCACCUGCCUGUCUUUGCUGCAGCCUGUUUGAACUAUUGCUUGGAGCAGCAAAAAGGAGAGCACAGGCCACUUGACUCGUGGCCCUCUUUCCUGGUAGUGACGCUUAUGCUCAAUUAUAAGUGACUCUGUUGAGUUGGCAGACCAGAGGCCAUGGAGGAAAGUCCUGGAAGAUUUAUUGACUCCUCUACUGAUAUUCAACAGGAGAUCCCUAAUGGAGAAUGCUGGUGGUAAGAUGAUUUCAGGUUCUUGGGCCAUUGGACACAGCCACAGAGACUGGUGGCCAUGGCCUCCAUUGAACCCCCUAAGGACCCUUCUCUGAAUGGUGGCCUCUACAUAAGCCCCUGUGCUCAAUGGAUUUGUAAACUGAGUCUGCUCCCUGCUAUGCUUGCAUUCUGUCUCACUUAAACCCCAGACAUUUCUUCCUCUAUUAUGUAUGGAACAGCCUUUCAUGUUUGUGAUUAAGAGAGUGGAGGGCAUAUUACAUUUACCAAACAGUGCUCAUCUUGGAACUGCUUCCAUAAAAACUUUGCCUGGAAGUUCACUUAUUCAUUCAACAGGAAUUUAUUGAGCACCUACUAUAUGCCAGGCGCAGUUCUAAAUCCUAUACCAAAGUCCCUGCCCUAGUGGAGCUUAUAUUCUAGAAGGUAGAGUCAGAAAAUGAACAUGUAAACAAAUAUUAUAUUUAGGUAGUGAUAAAAACAAUGAAUAAAAUUUAAAAAAAAAGAGCCAUGGGAUAGAAGGAUAAGAGGAGUGGCUACUUUAAUUAGAGCAGAAGUUCCUAACCUUAGUGGUACAUUAGAAUCAUUUGAGGGUGUUUAGAAUUCCCAGUAUGUGGACUGCACAAAGACUAAUUAAACCAGAGUGUUCAGGGAAAGGAUUCAGACACUGGGAUGUUUUAAAAGCUCCCCUGGUGUUUCCAGCGUGCAACCAAGGCUGAGAAUCACUGUACUGGAGUAACAAAUGCUGAGGAAUGUCCAGGAGAGGAGGCCUUUAGCAGGGAAACAGCAAGUGCCAGG
Molecule: long non-coding RNA, 1488 nt
Filed under: Homo sapiens (human)
Lineage: Eukaryota; Metazoa; Chordata; Mammalia; Primates; Hominidae
Description: HSALNT0007999
Source: RNAcentral